AGAUAGCUCAGUUGGUAGAGCACCUGACUAGAGAUCCAGGGGGCCCAAGUUCCAAUCCUGGUCU
This 64-nucleotide transfer RNA is filed under the name Magallana gigas (Pacific oyster). RNAcentral describes it as "Crassostrea gigas (Pacific oyster) tRNA". It matches the Rfam family "tRNA", at positions 5 to 66 of the family's 71-position model. Rfam says of the family: Transfer RNA (tRNA) molecules are approximately 80 nucleotides in length. Their secondary structure includes four short double-helical elements and three loops (D, anti-codon, and T loops). The record is from Rfam by way of RNAcentral. Lineage: Eukaryota; Metazoa; Mollusca; Bivalvia; Ostreida; Ostreidae.